GGGAACGAGGAGGAGGAAGAGAUUAGAAGCAGCAAGUGAAGGAGAAGGAAGAGGAGGAGAAAGAGCUAGAAUCGGUAAGUAUAGGAGAAACAGAGGGAGGUAGAGAGGAAGGCUACCAGGGAAGGAGGAGGAGGAGGAGGAGGAUAGAAAGCAGGAGGAAGAGGUAUUUUGAUGAGUUUCGUGCAGGAAGAGGAAGAGAGAGAAGAAGAGUUUUAAAUGGGCUUAAGACAGGAGGAAGACGAAAGGGAGGAAGAGAAAUUCAAUGGAGGUUAGUGCCGGAGGAGGAAUAGAAGGAAAGGGAGGAAGUUAGAGACGGCUAGGUAGGAGAAAGAAGAGAGGGAAGAAGAGUUUUAAAUGAUUGGGAAAGGAAGAAAGAGAGAGAGAGGUAGAUGAUUUUAGAAGCGAAGGAAGAGAAGAGAAGGAUGAGAAGAAUAAGAGUUGUGAAGCUGCAUGUGUAGGAGGUAUAGAGAGAAGGAAGAAAAGAAGUUUAUAAGCGGUGGUGUGGGAGGGGGAAAUAAACAGAGGUAUGAAGUGGUAGUGAUCAGUCCAAGAAGAGGAGAAGGAGAAGGAGAAUGUUAGAAGUGGCUAGUACAAUAGAAAGAAGAGAAGAAAGUUGGUAGGUUAGUGGAAGACGAAGAAAGGUAGAAGAGUAGGAGGUUGGUAGCUGUUAGUGCAAGGAAGAAAAGUAGGAAGAUGGAGGAGGUCUGAAGUGGGCAGUACAGGAAGACGAACAAACAGGAAAAGGGGAAGAUAAGGGGAAAGAAGAAAAGUAGGUUAGUGGCUGUCAGUGCAAGAAGAGAAAGAAAAGUAGCAGGAAGGGGUAUGGAGCUGGUAGUACAGGAAGACAAGCAAACAGGAAAAGGACGAGGAAAAGGGAAAUACAAGGAAAAAGAAGAAGAGUAGGAGGUUAAUAGCUGUCAGUGCAAGAAGAAAAAGAAAAGUAGCAGGAAGGAAGGGGUCUGAAGCAGGUAGUACAGGAAGACAAACAAAGAGGAAAAGGAAGAGGAGGUUACAAGAGAUUAGCACCGGGAAAGAAGCAGGUCAGAGGAAGGAGGAAGAGCCAGGAUGGUGGUUGAGGAUGUAUAAAUAACAGACAGAAAGAGGGUAUUAGGAGGGGAUAGUAAAGAGAUGAAUAUGAGAGAUAGGAGCUAGAGAGAAAGAAGAGGAGAUUGUAGCGGAUUGUUAGAAAGGUGAGGUUUAGUAAGAAGGAAGAGUCUGCUAGAUGUGAAUGGGUUUGUUCAUCGAUUUGUUACAGGGGGAAGGGAAGAGUGGGUUAGUGAGGUUUAGUAAGAAGGAAGAGUCUGCUAGAUGUGAAUGGGUUUGUUCAUCGAUUUGUUACAGGGGGAAGGGAAGAGCGGGUUAGUGAGGUUUAGUAAGAAGGAAGAGUCUGCUAGAUGUGAAUGGGUUUGUUCAUCGAUUUGUUACAGGGGGAAGGGAAGAGCGGGUUAGUGAGGUUUAGUAAGAAGGAAGAGUCUGCUAGAUGUGAAUGGGUUUGUUCAUCGAUUUGUUACAGGGGGAAGGGAAGAGCGGGUUAGUGAGGUUUAGUAAGAAGGAAGAGUCUGCUAGAUGUGAAUGGGUUUGUUCACAGAUUUGUUACAGGGGGAAGGGAAGAGCGGGUUAGUGAGGUUUAGUAAGAAGGAAGAGUCUGCUAGAUGUGAAUGGGUUUGUUCAUCGAUUUGUUACAGGGGGAAGGGAAGAGCGGGUUAGUGAGGUUUAGUAAGAAGGAAGAGUCUGCUAGAUAUGAAUGGGUUUGUUCAUAGAUUUGUUACAGGGGGAAGGGAAGAGCGGGUUAGUGAGGUUUAGUAAGAAGGAAGAGUCUGCUAGAUGUGAAGGGGUUUGUUCAUCGAUUUAUUACAGGGGGAAGGGAAGAGCGGGUUACAUAAUACAAGCAGGAUAUGAAGGAGUAAAAGAAGUAAGAUGAUAAGACGUAAUAUGAUAAAAAGGAUGCCGAAGAAGUACAAGGAGCAAGAUGAUAAAGAAAUGAAAAAGAGAACAUUACAGACUUCAUACAUUAAGAGCAGUUCAGUUCAUCCCACACACAUCUUCCCUCUCUCCGUCUCUCUCAUACUCCCUUUCAUAACUUUGUAACUCCAUUAUGGUCCGUCCUUCACAUGCCUUCACCCACUAACAUCCUCUUCCUCGCUCAACCCUCAACACCUCGCCAAACCCACGUCACCCAACCACCGCCACACGUC
This is a long non-coding RNA of Eriocheir sinensis (Chinese mitten crab), 2195 nucleotides long. RefSeq lists it as uncharacterized. The record is from RefSeq and is a predicted model, not a curated record. NCBI's taxonomy places the organism in Eukaryota, Metazoa, Arthropoda, Malacostraca, Decapoda, Varunidae. The transcript has 3 exons.